CGGAGGAAAGCACACCAGCUGUGCCAUGUAAACUUGUUAAAACCCUAUUAUGCACGUUCCUCUGAGAAUGAACAGUGGGAGUCUACAGAGGAUGUUAAACCUGUUCUUUUGGCUGAUACCGUUGUUUCCUUGGGUUUUUGUCAUGCUAGAUCUGUGCAUGAGGAGGAAGAUGUGCCUGGUCCUGACGAUUGUAUAUUGCAGGGUAAAAUCAGUUUUCAAAUGGGAAACUGCUGGCUUUGGGUGAUUGGAGUGUUCAGAAUGUUCCCUCACCUUGAAGAAGUCAAAGAAUCCAACAAGAUUUGCUUUCCCCAGAUCCUUCUCCCUUUCCCUGAAAAAGAACCAGCCAGUGAUCCCGGCGUCUAGCAGCUCUGGGUUUUUCUUGGACAGAGUGACUAGGUGAAGGCGCUCUUCACGACUGUCCCGGCCACGGAAGAAGGCCUGUUCCGUUUUGUUGGCCCAAGGGGGACCUAGACACCAAGGAAACAGAAUAAGGUUAUUGUGAGUAAUGAGGUGUAAGUAAGCAGAAUGAGGUUAAGGGAUAGUGUAUGAGGUUAUACAUCUUACCUGUGUUGCCUUGGACUGACAGUAGGUCAUUGGAAACGCCCCUCAUGGUCUCCAGGGUUGAGUGAGUGAUGUCGUAGGUGGGCAGGAUGAUGUCUCGGGUGUCUGUGGAGCCACACCAGGAGAUGAUUGGAACAGGCCCAGGAUCGUCAUCUGCUUUCCUUGUUUCCAUUGGCCAGUCUCCCACAUUGAUGUAAAAUUCCACAUCAGGCAACCUCACCUUUCAAUUCAAAUUCAGAGACAAAGACAGGGGAGCUCAGUUUAUGCAGAACAAUGAACUAAACAAUUAUAUUGAAAAUACGGUAUUAGGAGAGUUUCAGGCAAGGGACAAAGUAUCACAAAACAGUUCAGAAAGGAACAUGAUCAUACUUCUUGAUGAAAGGACAGAGACCUGCACACAAAACCCCCCACAAAGCAACUCUUUACCUUCCUGGCUAGGGAUAGUAACAUCUCAUCAGAGAACAUCUUGAAGUCAGUGUAUUUUCCCAGCGAGCGACGGUACACCUGGUUGUUGAUGACAGCAUAGUGAAUGAGACCUCCUCUGUUGGAGAACCGGCGGGGAACUUCCUGUAGGAGGCGCUGCAGGUCAAUGGAGGGGAAGGCAUUGAAGUCCCUCUGGAUCUGGGGUUCCUCAGCAGGACACUGCAUAAUGCUCUGCCAGGUGGGAACAUCAUGCUCUGGGCAGUCACAGUACUCAUGAUAGACUGGUCCUGAGUAUAUACAACCAAAGGGAUGCAUCAUGUGGAAGCAGUGAGAAUAGAUAAAAUUUACAACAUACUGCCAUCUACUCAAGUGUUUCCCAGCUCCAGUCCCCCCAACAGUACAUAUUUUUGUUAUGGCCCUGGACAAGCACACCUGAUUCUACUUGUCAACUAAUCAUCAAGCCCUUGACAAGUUAAAUUAGGUAUUUUUGUCUGGGGCUACAAUAAAAAUGUGUGCUGUUGGGGGUAUUGGAGGAUACACUGAUCUAGCCUAUAUUAUUCAUACAGGCGUACUCUGAUGAGGAGUUCACUUGUAAUUUCUGUCAAAUGAUCACAUUAAUCUGCUUUCAUUGAAAUAAUCUGUGAAAGUUAGCCAUUGACUGAUAUAGGUACCUUGUAGGGUGUAAGGUGACUUUGCAACGUGACUGUCUCUGUAGAGUACUUCGACCUUCAGUCCCUUGAGGAUACUGCCAUACAGACGGUACCUCAUCAGAAAAGAACCAUCUCCUCUGUCCAGGGGGAGGGGGACGUGGAUGCGGACAUGCUCCUUCUGUGAGAGUGAGACAAUCUUCACUCUGAAUGAGUCUUUACCUACAUGUAAAGAGAAAUAAAAUGAGUUAGAUGGAUCACCUCUAUAAUGGAAACAAUAAUGUAACCAUAGGGUCAAUUGGAGAUGGAGUAAUUUUCAGUCUGCAAAGACUAAGCUAACUAGGGGAAUAAAAGGGUCCCCAAUCAUG
Molecule: long non-coding RNA, 1999 nt
Organism: Salvelinus namaycush (lake trout)
Lineage: Eukaryota; Metazoa; Chordata; Actinopteri; Salmoniformes; Salmonidae
Exons: 2
Source: RefSeq, a predicted model, not a curated record